GAUUUCCCAUAACUUUAUGUUAGUAAGAGCCCUGAGAGAUGAUCAGGUAGAUAGGUUGGAAGUGGAAGUGUGGCGACACAUGUAGCGGACCAAUACUAAUCGCUCGAGGACUUAUCCAA
RNAcentral lists this ribosomal RNA (119 nucleotides) under Streptococcus suis. RNAcentral's name for it is "partial 23S ribosomal RNA". It matches the Rfam family "Bacterial large subunit ribosomal RNA", at positions 2808 to 2925 of the family's 2925-position model. Lineage: Bacteria; Bacillati; Bacillota; Bacilli; Lactobacillales; Streptococcaceae. The record is from RNAcentral.